GAUGCAUACCCUUCGCUUCUAACGGCCGCUGCAAUGACGCGAUGACUUUACCCGUCGGCGAUUGGCUCUUAUUUAGAAGGCGGGACUUUAUUCCGCCAUAUUGCACGUUGUACUUUUUCCCAUUCAAAGUGACGCGUCUUGAACCGUCUUUCUACAUUGUCUGACUGGAUAUUUAUUUUUCCUGGCGCUUACAGGAAGUGACAUAAUUUUAGAGGGAAACCAGCAGCACAAACAUGAAGCGCAGUCAGAUCUGAAUGUGAGGGAUGAACAAAAGUGACUUUCACACGAAACCACUACACAUAAGACUGGGGCUAGUUGUCACAGGCACGAUGAAGCACACCAGGAUGUUUCCCACCAUGCACAGUGAGAAGAUGAGCACAUAGGCCAGGAUGAAGACGGUGGCCACCACGAGCGAGUGCUGGUAGUACGG
Molecule: long non-coding RNA, 430 nt
Organism: Megalobrama amblycephala (Wuchang bream)
Lineage: Eukaryota; Metazoa; Chordata; Actinopteri; Cypriniformes; Xenocyprididae
Exons: 3
Source: RefSeq, a predicted model, not a curated record